CCAGCAAACCCCGCCGCCACCAGCGCCACUGUGCCGGCCUCCGCCUGCCGUGCAUCGCCGCCACCACGCCGGCCUCCGCCAGCCACGCACCGCUGCCCGUGCCGUGCCGGGUUGUGCCGUCGCUGGCCGAGCCGCCCCGCCCGUGCUGCGCCAGCCGAAGCCGCCGCCGUCGCACGGGCUCCGCGCGCCUCUGUUGGCCGCGGAGUCGGCCUCGCCCGCCGCCGCACCACCGGGCGCCGCCCACGCCGUCGCCACCGAAGCCGGCCGCUCCUCCUUCCCCGGGAGCCAGAUCCGGCGUCGCCGCACGCCGGCGAGCCCGCCGUCACAGCCUCUACCCUGCCGCCAACUUCGCCUCCUACGCCCUCGCCGCCACUGCAUCCUCUGCUGCACCGCCGCCUCCUUCACCCCCCCCCCCCCGCCGCCUCCUCCACCCCGCCGCCUUCUUCACCUCGCCAGCCGGCCGGGCAGGCCGGCGCCGCCGUCUUCGCGCCCCAGGCCGCGUCGGUGCCCCCACCGCCGACGGGAGGGAGAGACGAAGCCCCGCCGCCGCCGUCCUUGUGGCCGAGCGGCUUUGCCAGCGGCCGCUCGGGCGGCGGCGAGGCGGCAGAGGUAGGAGGGGGGAUCGGACGACGGCGGCGGUGGUGUCCGCCUCCCGUGUCGCCCGUGAGGAAGGACGACGCGGGGCCUAUGGCUUAG
This 696-nucleotide long non-coding RNA is filed under the name Oryza sativa aromatic subgroup. RNAcentral's name for it is "lncRNA OsARC_11g0014910". The record is from RNAcentral. Lineage: Eukaryota; Viridiplantae; Streptophyta; Magnoliopsida; Poales; Poaceae.